AGAGGUGGCAGGUAGCCUAGUGGUUAGAGUGUAGAGGAGGUAGGUAGUCUAGUGGUUAGAGUGCAGAGGAGGCAGGUAGCCUAGUGGUUAGAGUGUAGAGGAGGCAGGUAGCCUAGUGGUUAGAGUGUAGAGGAGGUAGGUAGUCUAGUGGUUAGAGUGUAGAGGAGGUAGGUAGUCUAGUGGUUAGAGUGUAGAGGAGGCAGGUAGCCUAGUGGUUAGAGUGUAGAGGAGGCAGGUAGCCUAGUGGUUAGAGUGUAGAGGAGGCAGGUAGCCUAGUGGUUAGAGUGUAGAGGAGGCAGGUAGCCUAGUGGUUAGAGUGUAGAGGAGGCAGGUAGCCUAGUGGUUAGAGUGUAGAGGAGGCAGGUAGACUAGUGGUUAGAGUGUAGAGGAGGCAGGUAGCCUAGUGGUUAGAGUGUAGAGGAGGCAGGUAGUCUAGUGGUUAGAGUGUAGAGGAGGCAGGUAGCCUAGUGGUUAGAGUGUAGAGGAGGCAGGUAGUCUAGUGGUUAGAGUGUAGAGGAGGUAGGUAGACUAGUGGUUAGAGUGUAGAGGAGGCAGGUAGCCUAGUGGUUAGAGUGUAGAGGAGGCAGGUAGUCUAGUGGUUAGAGUGUAGAGGAGGCAGGUAGCCUAGUGGUUAGAGUGUAGAGGAGGCAGGUAGCCUAGUGGUUAGAGUGUAGAGGAGGCAGGUAGACUAGUGGUUAGAGUGUAGAGGAGGCAGGUAGACUAGUGGUUAGAGUGUAGAGGAGGCAGGUAGCCUAGUGGUUAGAGUGUAGAGGAGGCAGGUAGACUAGUGGUUAGAGUGUAGAGGAGGCAGGUAGACUAGUGGUUAGAGUGUAGAGGAGGCAGGUAGACUAGUGGUUAGAGUGUAGAGGAGGCAGGUAGCCUAGUGGUUAGAGUGUAGAGGAGGCAGGUAGUCUAGUGGUUAGAGUGUAGAGGAGGCAGGUAGUCUAGUGGUUAGAGUGUAGAGGAGGCAGGUAGACUAGUGGUUAGAGUGUAGAGGAGGCAGGUAGACUAGUGGUUAGAGUGUAGAGGAGGCAGGUAGACUAGUGGUUAGAGUGUAGAGGAGGCAGGUAGCCUAGUGGUUAGAGUGUAGAGGAGGCAGGUAGUCUAGUGGUUAGAGUGUAGAGGAGGCAGGUAGUCUAGUGGUUAGAGUGUAGAGGAGGCAGGUAGCCUAGUGGUUAGAAUGUAGAGGAGGCAGGUAGAUACAGAACAACAAGACUGAACGACUGGGUCACGUCCACAGAUACAGAACAACAAGACUGAACGACUGGGUCACGUCCCUAGAUACAGAACAAAAAGACUGAACGACUGGGUCACGUCCCUAGAUACAGAACAACAAGACUGAACGACUGGGUCACGUCCCUAGAUACAGAACAACAAGACUGAACGACUGGGUCACGUCCCUAGAUACAGAACAACAAGACUGAACGACUGGGUCGCGUCUCUGGCAACUGAACCAAUAGAACGACCGACCAGCCGGCUUGGGGAGCAACCCUAGAUUUGUAGACUACAUCCAGUUUGCUGAGUGUUGGGGGCUAUUUUGUAAAUAACAUCGCCAAAGUCGAGGAUCGGUAGGAUAGUCCGUUUUACGAGGGUAUGUUUGGCAGCAUGAGUGAAGGAGGCUUUGUUUGCAAAAUAGGAAGCCGAUUCUAGAUUUAAUUUUGGAUUGCAGAUGCUUAAUGUGAGUCUGGAAGGAGAGUUUACAGUCUAACCAGACACCCAGGUAUUUGUAGUUGUCCACAUAUUCUAGGUCAGAACCGUCCAGAGUAGUGAUGCUGGACGGGCGGGC
Molecule: long non-coding RNA, 1786 nt
Organism: Oncorhynchus keta (chum salmon)
Lineage: Eukaryota; Metazoa; Chordata; Actinopteri; Salmoniformes; Salmonidae
Exons: 8
Source: RefSeq, a predicted model, not a curated record